AACACCUUUAGCCUUGGCCCGAUGCCCCAGUUCGCACAGUCAGGAGGUUUACCGUAUCAACUUCAUUUUGUUCACGGUGUUUUAUCAAUGAUGAUGUACUGCUUCAAAAUUUGUUACGGUACUCUCCAAAUUUAUAUGCCCCAAGAAUAUGUCCCGGAUCACUGUUUUAUAUUGAGAAGUUCAUUCUUGUCAACCGGUUGGUUUGAAUUCUUCUAGCCUUCCAUCCAAUUUUUGUGUAAACCACCAACGUAGGGUCACUCUGCACCAAGAAGAUGGUUGUUCUAGCUAAGGAGAAUACACCAAGAAAAGCAACCGAGCAGAAUUCAGCAGCAUGCCUACAAUGACAUUUCAGUUUUGAAAAUAUAACUUGAGCAACAUCA
RNAcentral lists this long non-coding RNA (380 nucleotides) under Hordeum vulgare. RNAcentral's name for it is "long non-coding RNA (HVUL_LNC001434)". Lineage: Eukaryota; Viridiplantae; Streptophyta; Magnoliopsida; Poales; Poaceae. The record is from RNAcentral.